Long non-coding RNA from Thalassophryne amazonica, 101 nucleotides. RefSeq lists it as uncharacterized. The transcript has 3 exons. Lineage: Eukaryota; Metazoa; Chordata; Actinopteri; Batrachoidiformes; Batrachoididae. The record is from RefSeq and is a predicted model, not a curated record.
GAGUCCAAAAAGCAAAUGUUUCUUGUAGUGAUGAAUGUAUAUGCCCGAUGGCCUGAAAUCAUACAUAUGCAGACUACUACCAUGUGCAGAACAUUUGAAGU